UACGAAGGGGGCUAGCGUUGCUCGGAAUCACUGGGCGUAAAGGGUGCGUAGGCGGGUCUUUAAGUCAGGGGUGAAAUCCUGGAGCUCAACUCCAGAACUGCCUUUGAUACUGAAGAUCUUGAGUUCGGGAGAGGUGAGUGGAACUGCGAGUGUAGAGGUGAAAUUCGUAGAUAUUCGCAAGAACACCAGUGGCGAAGGCGACACGCUGGGCCGUACCUGACACUGAUGCGCGACAGCAUGGGGAGCAAACAGG
This 253-nucleotide ribosomal RNA is filed under the name uncultured bacterium. RNAcentral's name for it is "partial 16S ribosomal RNA". It matches the Rfam family "Bacterial small subunit ribosomal RNA", at positions 524 to 776 of the family's 1533-position model. The record is from RNAcentral.